Molecule: long non-coding RNA, 1393 nt
Organism: Anoplopoma fimbria (sablefish)
Lineage: Eukaryota; Metazoa; Chordata; Actinopteri; Perciformes; Anoplopomatidae
Exons: 4
Source: RefSeq, a predicted model, not a curated record
CUUACACACUGUCAUGUCCGGCUGAAGAAAUCUGCAAUGAAAGUCCAAAUGUCCACUGGGAAUGGACAAAAGCUGAUGGACAGUCUACGGUGCAUUUUGGUUAUAGUUCGGUGUGUAUAGAGGAUUAUUGCCUGGAUUAUAAUCUUAAUCAUUUAGAACUCAUUCCUAUCGCCGAUGACCACAACACCAACAUCACAUGUGUGGUAGAUUAUGGUCACAGUGUUGCCAGGACAACUGACACCUUGACCGUGGAAUUUACUCCUAAGAUCCAAAAUGGUUCCCGGUGCAUGGUUGAAGGAAAGCUUGUGGUCUGUUUGUGCAUCAGUCGGGGAAUCCAAUGCCACUAAUCAACUGGCCUUGGGCCUCCCUCACUAACUUCUCAGUCACCAGCUUUAGUAGCAUCCAGACAGUUCACAGCACCAUCACUAUGCUGGCUGCUGACUAUAGCAACACCACAUGCAUCAGCAGCAAUGAACUGGGCCAGGUCGAGAUUGAACUUCCGCUCCUGAACUACACUGAGAACUAUUGGUUGGGUACGAAUCCCAAGUCUGAUGAAGCCCUUCCCUGGAUAAUUGCUGGUGUGUCUUUAAUUCUGAACCUGGUCCUCCUCACCACCCUGAUCAUCUGCAUUUACAAACGGGGUAAGAGUCAACAGAGGGUACCUAGUGUUGAAAUGGACACGUAUGCUUCCCUGAAUCAAGCAGAUGUUGGGCAAGACUAUAGUGUUAUUUUACCACGCACCAGGGGUGUGUCCAAGUAGUGUUCUGGGGAGGUACGCACCACUCAAGAAAUCAAAAUGUCCACCGCAUUAUCUAUUUAGCUUUUAUAUUUAAACGCAGGAAUGUAAGAAACUGUUACAUACUGUAAUGUUAGUAAUUAAAGUAGAUGAGUAGUGAAUAUUCUAAUGUACUUAUGUGUGCGUGCGCAUACUUCAUGCUAACCCUGCAUAAAUCAGGCCCCUGAUGGGCCACCCAAGUCAAAACUUGUUGGGACCCACAUUUUUAAGUCCUUGAGUUAUGUAUUGUUUUCUGUAUUUUAAGAGUACAUUAUUUUAACAUUGACUAGAUACUGGGCAAUCAAGUCUGCAAGGUGGAAUUCAUGUUCCACUUUAAUAUUUCCUAUAAUAUCAUAUAUCACAAUAUCAUGUCAAUCAAUACCAAUAUCAUCAGUGAUAUUGGUGAGAAGAGGAGCCUGCAAAGAGUUGGGGAUAUUAAAAAACAAAACCGGACCCAGCCACAACCUGAUGCUGUCUGGAAAGAGAUACAGAAGUAUCAGCUGCCGAACCACCAGAUUAUAAACAGCUUCUUUCCUCUGGCUGUGAGACUCCUUAACUCAUCCUCCACCCUCCAAAUAUAAUAUUGUUUUAUUAUGUCUUUGUUUGAUUUCUUUUCUA